Molecule: long non-coding RNA, 1421 nt
Organism: Mus caroli (Ryukyu mouse)
Lineage: Eukaryota; Metazoa; Chordata; Mammalia; Rodentia; Muridae
Source: RefSeq, a predicted model, not a curated record
GCCAUGCUCCCACCUUGAUGAUAAUGGACCUCUGAACCUGAUGGAUUGAAGAUGUGAAAAUGAUGAAUUGAGGAAUGUGGCCAUACUUAAGGCUACGGGAAAGCUCCAGGUUCCCCGGUUUGCACCGCCUUUACACGGCAUUCUCCAUCAGCCAAGUUCUUUCCAUUUACAAGAGACCGGAUUUAGGUGGUUACGCGCACGUGAUGGCACCUGAGGAGGCCGGAAGAAGAAUGGGUCCUCUGGAUCUGGAGUCAGAAGUGAAUGUGUGUCAUCCAAUGUGGGUGCUAAAAGCCAAACUGGGUCCUCUGCAAAAAUCAGUGUGUGCUCUCAACUGCAGAGCCAUCUCUCUAGGCCCACAACUAUGCCGUUUAAAACAAGAAUAUAUUAUUUACAGCUGCCGAGAAAAGGGGCCAGGCAGGGCCAUGUCAGGACAUAGGAAGCUUAUGGAAUAGGAGAAGGCAUGAUCCAAAGCCUUAAUUGUAAUUUCCAUGAAUGAAGUAGGGUUCACACGCCUCAGGAUAACUAGUGGGAAUAGUUUUAACAGGCUCUCAACUAGCAGGAUAGCUCCUAGAUGCCCAGUAACUAGGUAUGCUGUAUCUAGGUAGACAGUAUCUAGGUCCAGUACCUUGGUGUAGUUUAGGGCAGGGAGAAUAUUGGCUUAAGGUAUAGAGUUAGGUAAAGGAACUGGCUGAGGAGCUGACCACAGAGCUCAUGCCUGCAUGUGAAAGCAAUGCACAGGCAAGGUUUAGUCUCCCUAGGCCAGCAGUUCUCAACCUGUGGGUUGAUAUAUUUUCACAUCAUUUGUUUACAUUAUAAUUUAUAACCAUGGCAAGGUUACAGCUAUGAAGUAGCAACAAAAAUGAUUUUAUGUUGGUGGGUUGUCAUCACAACACAGGGAAAUGUAUUGAAGGGUCUCAGCAUCAGGAAGGCUGAGAGCCACUACUCUAGGUUCUCAGCUAGCCAUGUGGGAGGUUGUCUCUCCAGGAUCGGGAAGCGCACCAGAUGCCAAAGCACAGUGGACAGACAAAACCAUGUGGUCCUUAUAAAGAUACACGUGCAAGGUCAUUCUUCACAGAAUCUCUAACACCAGAGGCCAGAACCUGUGAUGGUGCCUGCUAUCAACUAGACAAGGUGUAGACUCAGCUGAGGUGGACCUCUGCACACGCCAGUGAGGGAUUUUCUUAAUUGGGUCCACUGAGGUAUAUAGACUCAUCCCAAACGGUAGUACUGUUUCAUGGGUGGGGUCGAGGAAAUGCAAUGGGAGCUAAGCAUCACUAUGGUGUAUCCAUGGCUGUCUGCUCUUCACUGUGGAUAUGGUGUGGCAUGCUGUUCGAGUUCCUACCGCCUUUCUGCACACUGAUUUUCCUUCAGUGAUGGACUGUAACCUGGAACUGUGGGUCAAAUAAACCAUUCCUCUUCCA